This 162-nucleotide unclassified non-coding RNA is filed under the name soil metagenome. RNAcentral's name for it is "partial internal transcribed spacer 1". The record is from RNAcentral.
AAGAGACGUUGCCCUUCGGGGUAUACCUCCCACCCUUUGUUUAUUAUACCUUUGUUGCUUUGGCGGGCCCGUCCUCGGACCACCGGCUUCUAGCUGGUCAGUGCCCGCCAGAGGACCUAAAACUCUGUUUGUUAAUAUUGUCUGAGUACUAUAUAAUAGUUA